Molecule: transfer RNA, 65 nt
Filed under: Sialis kuwayamai
Lineage: Eukaryota; Metazoa; Arthropoda; Insecta; Megaloptera; Sialidae
Description: tRNA-His
Source: RNAcentral
AUUUAAAUAGUUUAAUAAAAAUAUUGAUUUGUGGUAUCAAAGAUAUAAAAUUUUUAUUUUAAAUU